Molecule: ribosomal RNA, 303 nt
Filed under: uncultured bacterium
Lineage: Bacteria
Description: partial 16S ribosomal RNA
Rfam family: Bacterial small subunit ribosomal RNA
Source: RNAcentral
AGCAGUAGCCGCGGUAAUACGUAGGGUGCAAGCGUUAAUCGGAAUUACUGGGCGUAAAGCGUGCGCAGGCGGUUAUAUAAGACAGAUGUGAAAUCCCCGGGCUCAACCUGGGAACUGCAUUUGUGACUGUAUAGCUAGGGUACGGCAGAGGGGGAUGGAAUUCCGCGUGUAGCAGUGAAAUGCGUAGAUAUGCGGAGGAACACCGAUGGCGAAGGCAAUCCCCUGGGCCUGUACUGACGCUCAUGCACGAAAGCGUGGGGAGCAAACAGGAUUAGAUACCCCGGUAGUCCCUGUCUCUUAUAC